UACGGGGGGGGUAAGCGUUGUUCGGAAUUACUGGGCGUAAAGGGCUUGUAGGUGGCCAACUAAGUCAGACGUGAAAUCCCUCGGCUUAACCGGGGAACUGCGUCUGAUACUGGAUGGCUUGAGUUUGGGAGAGGGAUGCGGAAUUCCAGGUGUAGCGGUGAAAUGCGUAGAUAUCUGGAGGAACACCGGUGGCGAAGGCGGCAUCCUGGACCAACACUGACGCUGAGUGAGCGAAAGCCAGGGGAGCAAACGGG
Molecule: ribosomal RNA, 254 nt
Filed under: uncultured bacterium
Lineage: Bacteria
Description: partial 16S ribosomal RNA
Rfam family: Bacterial small subunit ribosomal RNA
Source: RNAcentral